GAAAUGCGAUACGUAAUGUGAAUUGCAGAAUUCAGUGAAUCAUCGAAUCUUUGAACGCAUAUUGCACUCUCCGGCACCCCGUAGAGUAUGCCUGUUUCAGUAUCAUUGGUAACCUCAAGCCUUCCCGGAUUUUUUGGGGGUGGGUUUUGGAUCUGAGCUUUGCCGGGAGGAGGAGGAGAUUCUUCCCUCCCCCCGGCUGGCUUGAAACGCAGCCACGGCAGGAACCGGGAUCAAAAGCGCAGCUAGUUGGCUUCAUCAUCUCUUGGUCAUUCUUUUCGCAAGAAAAGGCCCCGGGACCUGUGGGAAUUUGCAGGAAAAAUGGAUCGGAGAGGAGAGAAUCUUCUCCGGAAACUUGAUCUGAAAUCAGGUAGGACUACCCGCUGAACUUAA
RNAcentral lists this unclassified non-coding RNA (390 nucleotides) under uncultured fungus. RNAcentral's name for it is "sequence contains ITS1". The stretch from base 1 to 105 matches the Rfam family "5.8S ribosomal RNA", at positions 50 to 154 of the family's 154-position model. Lineage: Eukaryota; Fungi. The record is from RNAcentral.